RNAcentral lists this ribosomal RNA (461 nucleotides) under uncultured bacterium. RNAcentral's name for it is "bacterial SSU rRNA". It matches the Rfam family "Bacterial small subunit ribosomal RNA", at positions 335 to 788 of the family's 1533-position model. The record is from RNAcentral.
ACUCCUACGGGAGGCAGCAGUGGGGAAUAUUGCACAAUGGGCGCAAGCCUGAUGCAGCCAUGCCGCGUGUAUGAAGAAGGCCUUCGGGUUGUAAAGUACUUUCAGCAGUGAGGAAGGCGGGUACGUUAAUAGCGUGCUUGUUUGACGUUAGCUGCAGAAGAAGCACCGGCUAACUCCGUGCCAGCAGCCGCGGUAAUACGGAGGGUGCGAGCGUUAAUCGGAAUUACUGGGCGUAAAGCGCAUGCAGGUGGUUUGUUAAGUCAGAUGUGAAAGCCCGGGGCUCAACCUCGGAAUUGCAUUUGAAACUGGCAGACUAGAGUACUGUAGAGGGGGGUAGAAUUUCAGGUGUAGCGGUGAAAUGCGUAGAGAUCUGAAGGAAUACCGGUGGCGAAGGCGGCCCCCUGGACAGAUACUGACACUCAGAUGCGAAAGCGUGGGGAGCAAACAGGAUUAGAUACCCU